This 253-nucleotide ribosomal RNA is filed under the name uncultured bacterium. Its description in RNAcentral is "partial 16S ribosomal RNA". It matches the Rfam family "Bacterial small subunit ribosomal RNA", at positions 524 to 776 of the family's 1533-position model. The record is from RNAcentral.
UCCGUAGGGUGCAAGCGUUGUCCGGAAUUAUUGGGCGUAAAGAGCUCGUAGGCGGUCUGUCGCGUCUGCUGUGAAAACUCAGGGCUUAACCCUGAGCUUGCAGUGGGUACGGGCAGACUAGAGUGCGGUAGGGGAGACUGGAAUCCCUGGUGUAGCGGUGAAAUGCGCAGAUAUCAGGAGGAACACCGGUGGCGAAGGCGGGUCUCUGGGCCGUAACUGACGCUGAGGAGCGAAAGCGUGGGGAGCGAACAGG